This is a long non-coding RNA of Hipposideros armiger (great roundleaf bat), 459 nucleotides long. RefSeq lists it as uncharacterized. The transcript is spliced from 3 exons. NCBI's taxonomy places the organism in Eukaryota, Metazoa, Chordata, Mammalia, Chiroptera, Hipposideridae. The record is from RefSeq and is a predicted model, not a curated record.
AGCGUACUAAUUGACACAGAAGAGCAGACUUCUGGUUUGGGAGUGGGAAUUGAAAUGGAGACAGAGGUCCCACUACAGGCAGGUGAGCUGGCAGGAAGCAGCUUUAGAGGAGCUCAUGCUAAGACGCUCCCUCAGUCUGUGCAGCACUCAAGGCACCCAUGAGCACGUCCCAGACCCCUAACAGAGCAGGACCCCGAGAGCUCUGCGAAAACACAGAGCCUACUCAGCUUUGCUGAAAUCGGCUAAUGGCUGACCUUGAACUUCCCAGGUGCAGGUCCUCACAGCUCAUCACAAGGCAUAAUUCAGGAGGGAACGGGCCACACAGGAUGGUGUCUCAGAGAAGAAUGGAAGCGACAAGUUUCUACAAGAGCCGAGAGUAGCUGCCGGAGGGCAGGGCAAGUUAAAACUGUGGAACAAGAAUACUGAAAAUGGUCAUGUAUAUUUGCAAACACUUACGUA